RNAcentral lists this ribosomal RNA (998 nucleotides) under Hirudinaria manillensis. RNAcentral describes it as "16S ribosomal RNA". The stretch from base 612 to 958 matches the Rfam family "Archaeal large subunit ribosomal RNA", at positions 2150 to 2716 of the family's 2987-position model. The record is from RNAcentral. Lineage: Eukaryota; Metazoa; Annelida; Clitellata; Hirudinida; Hirudinidae.
CUCGAAAUCAAUAUGAGCUGAUUAUAUAUUGUUGAGAACUAAUUAUUGGUUGUUACAUUAACCUUAAAAAAUUUAUAGUCAGAAGUUAUAUGCUAAUCGCAUUUGAUUAUAGCUAGUCUUUACAUAAUUUAUAAAUUAAUGUUAUGUAAUUUAUGUGAUUUUGAAGGAUAAGCUUCAUUAUUUAAUCAAUUUAUUAUAUAUAUAUAUAUAUAUAUAUAUAUAUAUAUAUAUGGGCUUGAAAACAGCUACUUAUAAUUACUUUAUCGUUUAUUUUAAUAAUUAAUACCAAUAUGAAAAAUUUAUGUAAAAAUAUUUAUAAUUUAUUAAUAAAAUAAAUAUUAUAAUGUAAAUAUAAGUAAUUAUUAAAUAAAAUUUAAUUAAUUCGGCAAAUAAAGAUUUCGACUGUUUAACAAAAACAUUUCUUUAGGUAGUAGAGUUCUAAAGUAAACCCUGCCCAAUGUAUUAUAAAUGGCCGCAGUAUAUUGACUGUGCAAAGGUAGCAUAAUAAUUUGUUUAUUAAUUGUAAACUAGAAUGAAUGGGAUUACGAAAAUCUAACUGUCUCAAAUUUUUAUUUGAAAUUAUUCUUUAUUGUGAAGAAACUUAAAUAGGGUUGAGGGACAAGAAGACCCUAUAAAGCUUUAUAUAACUAUUAAAGUUUUUAAUUUAAACAUAUAUUUGAUUGGGGCGAUCAAUGAUUAAUUAAUAAAACAUCAUUUAAACAAUUUGACAUAUUAGUCUAGAUUUGAUCCUUAAUAAGAGCAUAAGAUUAAGUUACUUUAGGGGUAACAGGCUAAUUUUUAUAUCGGAGUUCUUAUCUAAUAUAAUGAUUGGCACCUCGAUGUUGACUUAAAAUUCCUAUAAGGCGCAAGAGCUUUUAUAAGGGGGUUUGUUCAACCUUUAAAAUUUUACAUGAGUUGAGUUCAGACCGGCGUAAGCCAGGUUAGAUUCUAUCUUCAAUCUUAGAUUAUAUUAUAUUUUUGUUGUACGAAAGGACCCA